GACGAACGCUGGCGGCGUGCCUAAUACAUGCAAGUCGAGCGAAGUUUUUCUGGUGCUUGCACUAGAAAAACUUAGCGGCGAACGGGUGAGUAACACGUAAAGAACCUGCCUCAUAGACUGGGACAACUAUUGGAAACGAUAGCUAAUACCGGACAACAGUAUUUCUCGCAUGAGAGAUAUUUAAAAGUUGGUUAUGCUAACACUAUGAGAUGGCUUUGCGGUGCAUUAGCUAGUUGGUGGGGUAAAGGCCCACCAAGGCGACGAUGCAUAGCCGACCUGAGAGGGUGAUCGGCCACACUGGGACUGAGACACGGCCCAGACUCCUACGGGAGGCAGCAGUAGGGAAUCUUCCGCAAUGGGCGAAAGCCUGACGGAGCAACGCCGCGUGAGUGAAGAAGGAUUUCGGUUCGUAAAGCUCUGUUGUUAGGGAAGAAUGGAUAUGUAGUAACUAUACAUGUAAGAGACGGUACCUAACCGGAAAGCCACGGCUAACUACGUG
Molecule: ribosomal RNA, 499 nt
Filed under: uncultured bacterium
Lineage: Bacteria
Description: partial 16S ribosomal RNA
Rfam family: Bacterial small subunit ribosomal RNA
Source: RNAcentral